GAUGAACGCUGGCGGCGUGCCUAAUACAUGCAAGUCGAGCGAACGGACGAGAAGCUUGCUUCUCUGAUGUUAGCGGCGGACGGGUGAGUAACACGUGGAUAACCUACCUAUAAGACUGGGAUAACUUCGGGAAACCGUAUCUAAUACCGGAUAAUAUUUUGAACCGCAUGGUUCAAAAGUGAAAGACGGUCUUGCUGUCACUUAUAGAUGGAUCCGCGCUGCAUUAGCUAGUUGGUAAGGUAACGGCUUACCAAGGCAACGAUGCAUAGCCGACCUGAGAGGGUGACCGGCCACACUGGAACUGAGACACGGUCCAGACUCCUACGGGAGGCAGCAGUAGGGAAUCUUCCGCAAUGGGCGAAAGCCUGACGGAGCAACGCCGCGUGAGUGAUGAAGGUCUUCGGAUCGUAAAACUCUGUUAUUAGGGAAGAACAUAUGUGUAAGUAACUGUGCACAUCUUGACGGUACCUAAUCAGAAAGCCACGGCUAACUACGUG
This 497-nucleotide ribosomal RNA is filed under the name uncultured bacterium. RNAcentral describes it as "partial 16S ribosomal RNA". It matches the Rfam family "Bacterial small subunit ribosomal RNA", at positions 28 to 507 of the family's 1533-position model. The record is from RNAcentral.